Perca fluviatilis (European perch) is the source of this 1878-nucleotide long non-coding RNA. RefSeq lists it as uncharacterized. The transcript is spliced from 2 exons. The record is from RefSeq and is a predicted model, not a curated record. NCBI's taxonomy places the organism in Eukaryota, Metazoa, Chordata, Actinopteri, Perciformes, Percidae.
GCCUCCCCAAGACCAGAGCCAACGUCGACAAGGUGUUCUUCGACCUCAUGCGGGAGGUCCGCAAGAAGAAAAUGGCGGAGAGCAAAGACAAAAACGGGCCGAGCGGCAAGAAGAAGAAGAAGCACUGCUGCGUACUUUAACUCCUGGCAGGACAAAGUGACAAAGUGCCAAAAACAAAACAAACAACAGCAAAAAUAAAACAACCAGGCAGCAGCUUUAAACCAUCAAACUGUCUGUCAAACGACUGCUGCACCAAACAGUCACUCCGUCAGCCGUGGAGGGAAACUCCCAAAUACUCCCCGUUCCUCACCUGCACAUUUAUUUUUACACCUGGAAAUGUAUUUUUCUCCAAAUGUAUAAAAACUCCACGUUUUAAAGAGAAUGUGGAUGCUGGAGGUCAUGUUGAGGAAGCUCCCUUCCAUUUAUUUGUAUUCGUUGGUUUGGGUUUCUGUAACCUCUGUACCUUCUGCUUCCUCUUUACACACCGUAGAGGCCAUAAGUAUGUGGACAAAUCUGAUCCGGGACGAUCAGAUGUUUAUAAGACUCUGACACAAAGUGAUCAAGGUGAUUGUUGUGUGUCUAUUAUUUUGUCACGUUGUUACAAAGUCAUCUUCCAGGAAUGUGAGCUUGAAAGGACUUUUUUUUUUUUUUUUUUUGUCAGAAAAGAAGAAAAUAAUCUGCAAUCAUUUAAGUCACUUUUUUUUUUUUGUUGCAGGUUGCGGCUUCUCAAAUACGAAGAUCUUUUCUCGUGUGUGUGUGUAUACGGCAUAUUAUAGUACAUUUUAAUAUUCCUUUUGUUUCAGACUGCUGGUUGGAUCAAACAAAGCACUUUAAGGACAUCACUUUGGGCUUUAGGAAGUUCUAACAAGCGCCUUCCCCUUUUCGAUCGGUAGAUCGGUGGAUGAACUGAUGAUGGAAGUGGCCCCUCUAUACGAUGUGAUUUUUGGGCAGUUACAGAUUGAGAAAGAACCAAAACAAAAUCCCACAAACUUUCAAUAACUUGUACUUCAACUUGUACCAACAUUUUGGUUGUUUUUUUUCAGAGCCACCACUUAACUGUUCUGGGGUUGUUUUAGCAAACAGCAGACAGACCCAGUCAGAGACCAGCUGGUGAAAAUAGAGCAGCAUUUAGCGUGCAGCAAACCUGUUAGUUUGAGCCUCAACAGCACGAAAAACAGACCAAAAGAACACCAAUACGCGUGUAUACGUACGGCCACACACUAUACAUGUUUCUGCAUCGUUGUUGUGAAUGAUUUAACGGUCUUGAAUUUUACUACAGCCGUUCCAAAACCAUUAUCUCCUUCCCGAUAACGAUUCCAAUGCCUGAAAAUUGCGUACCGAUCAACCAAAACGUAAAGAGAAUAAAAGCCGUAUAACUUUCUUUCAGAGUCAGUCAUAACAGAAAAAAAACAGAAAUAAAGUACUGUUAAUGUAGCCCAGAAAAAAAGUAGUAAAGUACCUUUUUAAAGUAGUUUUUUUUUUAAGUUAUGUGGUAUCGUAUCAGCGCUCCGACUCGCUGACACUGAUACCAGAUUUCAGGCAGUAUCGGAGGCAAACUCUGAAGUAUUCCCAGACAGACCCACUAUCAGCUGAACAGAGACUUAGUGCCUUAAACUGUCCACCAGUCCAGUCCAGUCCAGUGGCUUUUCCUUUAUUGUGUCUGUUUGGAGUCGUUCCUCACAUUCCUAAUAUACACACUUCCAGACUCUUCUCUUUCUGUACAAGCUUUAUUCUUCACUAAGAACUUUAUAGUACACUUUAUAAUCGCGUUUUACAGGGAAUCGACUAUUUAAAUCACUCUGUUGAUGAAGGGACUCAUUUCUUUGUCUCCACACACACACACACACACACACACACACACACACACACACACACACA